AGGGGGAUAACUACUGGAAACGGUAGCUAAUACCGCAUAACGUCGCAAGACCAAAGAGGGGGACCUUCGGGCCUCUUGCCAUCGGAUGUGCCCAGAUGGGAUUAGCUAGUAGGUGGGGUAACGGCUCACCUAGGCGACGAUCCCUAGCUGGUCUGAGAGGAUGACCAGCCACACUGGAACUGAGACACGGUCCAGACUCCUACGGGAGGCAGCAGUGGGGAAUAUUGCACAAUGGGCGCAAGCCUGAUGCAGCCAUGCCGCGUGUAUGAAGAAGGCCUUCGGGUUGUAAAGUACUUUCAGCGGGGAGGAAGGGAGUAAAGUUAAUACCUUUGCUCAUUGACGUUACCCGCAGAAGAAGCACCGGCUAACUCCGUGCCAGCAGCCGCGGUAAUACGGAGGGUGCAAGCGUUAAUCGGAAUUACUGGGCGUAAAGCG
Molecule: ribosomal RNA, 435 nt
Filed under: Escherichia coli
Lineage: Bacteria; Pseudomonadati; Pseudomonadota; Gammaproteobacteria; Enterobacterales; Enterobacteriaceae
Description: bacterial SSU rRNA
Rfam family: Bacterial small subunit ribosomal RNA
Source: RNAcentral